RNAcentral lists this ribosomal RNA (1485 nucleotides) under Enterococcus faecium. RNAcentral describes it as "bacterial SSU rRNA". It matches the Rfam family "Bacterial small subunit ribosomal RNA". Lineage: Bacteria; Bacillati; Bacillota; Bacilli; Lactobacillales; Enterococcaceae. The record is from RNAcentral.
GAGCUUGCUCCACCGGAAAAAGAGGAGUGGCGAACGGGUGAGUAACACGUGGGUAACCUGCCCAUCAGAAGGGGAUAACACUUGGAAACAGGUGCUAAUACCGUAUAACAAUCGAAACCGCAUGGUUUUGAUUUGAAAGGCGCUUUCGGGUGUCGCUGAUGGAUGGACCCGCGGUGCAUUAGCUAGUUGGUGAGGUAACGGCUCACCAAGGCCACGAUGCAUAGCCGACCUGAGAGGGUGAUCGGCCACAUUGGGACUGAGACACGGCCCAAACUCCUACGGGAGGCAGCAGUAGGGAAUCUUCGGCAAUGGACGAAAGUCUGACCGAGCAACGCCGCGUGAGUGAAGAAGGUUUUCGGAUCGUAAAACUCUGUUGUUAGAGAAGAACAAGGAUGAGAGUAACUGUUCAUCCCUUGACGGUAUCUAACCAGAAAGCCACGGCUAACUACGUGCCAGCAGCCGCGGUAAUACGUAGGUGGCAAGCGUUGUCCGGAUUUAUUGGGCGUAAAGCGAGCGCAGGCGGUUUCUUAAGUCUGAUGUGAAAGCCCCCGGCUCAACCGGGGAGGGUCAUUGGAAACUGGGAGACUUGAGUGCAGAAGAGGAGAGUGGAAUUCCAUGUGUAGCGGUGAAAUGCGUAGAUAUAUGGAGGAACACCAGUGGCGAAGGCGGCUCUCUGGUCUGUAACUGACGCUGAGGCUCGAAAGCGUGGGGAGCAAACAGGAUUAGAUACCCUGGUAGUCCACGCCGUAAACGAUGAGUGCUAAGUGUUGGAGGGUUUCCGCCCUUCAGUGCUGCAGCUAACGCAUUAAGCACUCCGCCUGGGGAGUACGACCGCAAGGUUGAAACUCAAAGGAAUUGACGGGGGCCCGCACAAGCGGUGGAGCAUGUGGUUUAAUUCGAAGCAACGCGAAGAACCUUACCAGGUCUUGACAUCCUUUGACCACUCUAGAGAUAGAGCUUCCCCUUCGGGGGCAAAGUGACAGGUGGUGCAUGGUUGUCGUCAGCUCGUGUCGUGAGAUGUUGGGUUAAGUCCCGCAACGAGCGCAACCCUUAUUGUUAGUUGCCAUCAUUCAGUUGGGCACUCUAGCAAGACUGCCGGUGACAAACCGGAGGAAGGUGGGGAUGACGUCAAAUCAUCAUGCCCCUUAUGACCUGGGCUACACACGUGCUACAAUGGGAAGUACAACGAGUCGCGAAGUCGCGAGGCUAAGCUAAUCUCUUAAAGCUUCUCUCAGUUCGGAUUGCAGGCUGCAACUCGCCUGCAUGAAGCCGGAAUCGCUAGUAAUCGCGGAUCAGCACGCCGCGGUGAAUACGUUCCCGGGCCUUGUACACACCGCCCGUCACACCACGAGAGUUUGUAACACCCGAAGUCGGUGAGGUAACCUUUUGGAGCCAGCCGCCUAAGGUGGGAUAGAUGAUUGGGGUGAAGUCGUAACAAGGUAGCCGUAUCGGAAGGUGCGGCUGGAUCACCUCCUUUCUAAGGAA